RNAcentral lists this ribosomal RNA (21 nucleotides) under Eisenia bicyclis. Its description in RNAcentral is "partial 26S ribosomal RNA". Lineage: Eukaryota; Phaeophyceae; Laminariales; Lessoniaceae. The record is from RNAcentral.
GGACCUCCGAUCAAGCAAGAG